CAAAGAGGGCAUGGAAGCAACAUAAGGUUACCAUCGUCAGAAGAGCGACCAAAGAGGAAUUCGUGUGUUGGAAGCACAAUGUAUCAAUCGCAUUAGGCCCCCUAUAAACCAAUCAGAAGAGGAACUCGAGAAUAGAAUUGAAAAAGGGAGGAUAAAGAUAAGCAAAGUACUCGAUACCAGUGUUGAAAGUUCGUCUGAUGAAGAUAUCUCAUUGUCUCAAAUUGCCAAGCAAAGGAAGGAAAGAAAACAGGACAUUUCUAUGUCAAAAGAGAAUCUGCUGAAGCUAAUAAUAGAAGAAAAAAGACGACAGAAAUCUCCACCAUUUCCAAGUACAGCUCCCAAGAGGUGUGAUGAGCUAAAGGAGCUCAAGAGAAAAAAUGAUGUUUUCCAACUGAAGUUGGAUGAGUACCAAUGCCUAAAUAAGAAACUUCAAAAGUUGUUGCAUGUAAAGCUAGACAAAGGCUACCAAAACACCAUUAUCACCAGCAGCAGCAUCAAACUCAGCACCAACAUUUGAGUCAGUAGCAGCAACAACAUCAGCUGCAUCAGUGGCUGAACCUGAUGAAGAACCUCAGUUGUAUUGCAAGUCAGGCGAUAAGAUUCACCUUGGCAGUGGCAUAUUUAUCCCUACUUUCAAGUGGGAAAUGUUACAGCUCCAGAAAAAAAAACUCAAUUUUUGUGAAAAAUCUGGCAGUUUCUGUAUGGGGUUGUGAGGCCUUGAAAACUAGAUAUGUUGACGGCAACGGCCAUGUUAUCCUGAAUCUACUCCAAAACCACCAUUAACACCAUUAAAGGUGCAAACUGUUAAAAGGUGUUAUGUAGACCGACUGAAGACCAUGCAAUUAAGUACUGAAGAAUUCAAAUCUGAAGAACGAAAGUUCAAGAAGUACCUUACUGAAAAGAUAAUGGAUUUGAAUAGAAAGAAGUAAUAGAACAAAACCUUGAUAUACACCGCACUUUUCACUUUAAUGGCAACUGACCCAACCUGAUGUUUGUAUUACAGUAUUUUGAAGCGAUUGACGUCAAGUCACUUAUGUUACACAAUUAAAGUUUUUAAUUAAAAUGCGUAUGUUUAAAA
Molecule: long non-coding RNA, 1078 nt
Organism: Anneissia japonica
Lineage: Eukaryota; Metazoa; Echinodermata; Crinoidea; Comatulida; Comatulidae
Exons: 6
Source: RefSeq, a predicted model, not a curated record